RNAcentral lists this ribosomal RNA (454 nucleotides) under Candidatus Limousia pullorum. RNAcentral describes it as "bacterial SSU rRNA". It matches the Rfam family "Bacterial small subunit ribosomal RNA", at positions 1 to 434 of the family's 1533-position model. Lineage: Bacteria; Bacillati; Bacillota; Clostridia; Eubacteriales; Oscillospiraceae. The record is from RNAcentral.
AUUUUAGAGAGUUUGAUCCUGGCUCAGGACGAACGCUGGCGGCGUGCCUAACACAUGCAAGUCGAACGGAACUUACCGAAUGAAGUCUUCGGAUGGAUUUUGGUAAGUUUAGUGGCGGACGGGUGAGUAACGCGUGAGUAACCUGCCUUCAAGAGGGGAAUAACGUUCUGAAAAGAACGCUAAUACCGCAUAACAUACGGAUGUCGCAUGGCAACCGUAUCAAAGAUUUUAUCGCUUGAAGAUGGACUCGCGUCCGAUUAGCCAGUUGGCGGGGUAACGGCCCACCAAAGCGACGAUCGGUAGCCGGACUGAGAGGUUGAACGGCCACAUUGGGACUGAGACACGGCCCCUUUGAGCGUUUCUCGUACAGCAUGGCAUCGUGGGGAAGCGUGACCGGUUGCAUAGACUGUUCCUUUCCCACGGCGCCAAAUAGCCAACCCCGGUUAAAAUCUUU